GAGAGGAGCAAGAUCAGCAUGAUGGGGGGGCCCAGGGACAGCCCUAGACGAGCUGCCAGCAACCGGCGCCCUAGGUCUCUGGCUCCGUCGAUGAUGAGAACCAGACAGCUGCUUGCGUGUGUGCCCAAUGACCACAGCAGACCCCGAGAGGGCCCCCAAAGACCACAAACCAGAUAAGGAUCGAAGGUGCCCAGACAGGUUUCUUGCUAAGCGAAGUACAGUCACAGUUGUCGGUGGACUCUAGUGACCCACUGUACACAGAUUUUCAUCAAUCAUUGAAAAAUGUUGAAAGGCCUCCUGAGGAAUUUCCAGGGAACAAGGGCGUGUCUGGCUCGGACUCUGAUUCACUGUCCACAAGUCUUGGAGACCGUACUGCGUGAGUGGGGAGGCGUGGGGGAGGAGGAGCGGUUCCCUCCCUGGGGGGCGAAUGUUCCAUUGCCCUACCUGAAACAUGCGUGGGAGGCGCUGGAUUCAGGAUUGCAGCCGUGCUGUUUGCCCGCCCUUGGUACGCGGUGUCACUGCCACGCGCGCUGGAUUUCGUUCCACGCCAUGAUCCCCCGCGCCGCGGCACAAGCGCGUCGACGGGGUUGGAAUCCUUCCCUCCGUGGAGCCCUGGCUCGGACGGGCCACAGUGAAGAAGCACGAGGGAGUUUCUCUGCUUUUCACGGCUGCGGUUUGGUGCAGUGUGUGGAAAGGGGCAGGCUUCCCUGCACACUGAAUAAAGAGCCAGUCUGCCAGGCAGGGGGUGCGUUUCUUCCUAGGGAAUGGGACGUUUGUGUUCGGGAUGUGGCCGGUUACCCGUUACCAGGUAACCCGUUAAUCCGCAGGCUGGAGCAGCCCCCCGCUGGCCCUGCCACGCCAUGCCGCGAUCCUGGUUGAGCGGUUAACUGGUUAAACAUGACCUGUAGCCGGUUAACUGAUUAACCUGGACUUUACAACUCUAAUGUGUGAGAGAAGCCAGCACUGGAAACUGGAGCCCUGUUCACCAAGCCAACCUCCCCCGUCCACGGGGCUCCCCUCAGGCCGCAGGCCCCUCCUGGAGAGAGAGCGUAGGGCCGUCUCUGUGGCCCCUCCACCUCUGCCGAGGGGUUUGACAGGAGGGUAGUUCUGCUGUCGGGGCAGCUGCGGCUUUGCCAGAGGGGCUCCCUGAGUCUCCAAGGGAAGGGAGCAAGCCGCCUUGGAGAUGCUGUUUGCCCCCCUCAGCUAGCCCCACAGAAGGGCAGGGGCGCACUG
Molecule: non-coding RNA, 1233 nt
Organism: Pelodiscus sinensis (Chinese soft-shelled turtle)
Lineage: Eukaryota; Metazoa; Chordata; Testudines; Trionychidae
Source: RefSeq, a predicted model, not a curated record